GUCCCGUUCGUCUAGCGGUUUAGGACAUCGCCCUUUCACGGCGAAGAUCACGGGUUCGAAUCCCGUACGGGAUACCA
This 77-nucleotide transfer RNA is filed under the name bacterium. RNAcentral describes it as "tRNA-Glu". It matches the Rfam family "tRNA". From Rfam's summary of the family: Transfer RNA (tRNA) molecules are approximately 80 nucleotides in length. Their secondary structure includes four short double-helical elements and three loops (D, anti-codon, and T loops). The record is from RNAcentral.